Equus caballus (horse) is the source of this 1608-nucleotide long non-coding RNA. The record is from Ensembl. NCBI's taxonomy places the organism in Eukaryota, Metazoa, Chordata, Mammalia, Perissodactyla, Equidae.
UGACGGGGAGAGUUUAUAGGCCUGGGUAAGCUGGGUAAGGCGGGGCCUAGUGGACGGUGAGGAAGGCUGUGGGGUCUGUGGGCCAGAGGUUUCCAGGAAGCUGAAGGCUGUGGGUGCAGAGGCGUUAGAGGGAGGGAGCUGGACGAACAGGGCAUGGCCUUGAGGUGAUGAGAGAACAGAAUGUUAGAAAUGGGCAUCCAGGAGGGGCGCGGUCUUUCCUGAUGCCCAGGGAAUGACCCUGCGCUGGGGGAUGCUCGGAUGGGGAGGAGGAGAACAUCCUUGAGGACGGAGAGGCUCCGGUGGACCAGGUUUUCUAUACUCAGGGGGAGUGACUUCUACAAUGAGAGAACACAUUUUACCAGAUAUAAAACCCAGGUCCAUAAACCCAGGACAACCUAGGGAGAGACCAUGACAAGACGAUUCGGAGAAGCACAAAUACAAGAUGCUAAGGAACCUAAGCAGCUCCGCAGGAGAAAGGCCAACUGGAAAAGCAAAAGGGCCUUGUCGCCAGGCAGGGAAUUUUCCGAAGGGGGCGAGCUGAAGGCAGCAGCCCGCCCGAGAGGGGCCCAGCCGGCGCAGACGCAGAAAGAAGCCGCCUCUUUAGCGGAGAAGUCUCAGAGCAGUUUUUUCAAGCACGAAGGGCGGGGCAAGAGGGCGGCUGGUCGGCUGGACGGCGCAACACUGCCACCUGCAGACCAGAGAAACCCAACGCCACCAACCCCAGGGAAAACUCCAUGUUUUCCGUAGUCAUUCCGCGCAAAGACCUGGAGCUCGUGGCUCAGGAAGGUCGGCGGGAGGGAGAUGAGGACCACGGAAAGGAAGAGAAGCGGCCAGAGCGGCCCCGAAAACCAGGCUGGGGCAACGCCGCCUUCCCGCUCGCUGCACCGGCCCCGGCCCCGGCCCCGGCCCGGAACCGUAGCCACAGCGGCAGGAAGUCCCUGCGCCCCAGGAAGGAGGGUCCCGGGGGCGCGGCUGCGCCCCCACAGCCGGGCUCUGGGCCGGCGCACGGGCGCCCCGAGAGGCGGCUGUCAGUCUCCCUGCCGGUGGCCGCUGGCGCUUGCCCUCCGGAUCCUCUUGCGAACUGUGGACCGGGGAUGGCCACGUCCUGUCGCCCGACUGCCCCCCCCCCACCCCCCCGUCACCGUCCCCUCCCCCCCACCGCCCUUGCCCCACGCGCGGGAGCUGGACCAAUCCCCUGUCCUCCUCCUCCUGCCCACCCCCAGGCAGGGAAUGCUCACUGGUGCCUGUCCCCUGGCAUGGUUGAUGCGGGGUCGGUGAGCCGAGGAGUCAAAAGAAAGAUUUCUUAGAUUCUCAAGAUCUGGCAGUAGUGCUCUUUUAUUUAGAGAAUAGUGUGGAAUAGCAUGGGGACAGGACCCAUGGGCAGUCAGAGCUUCUGCUGCCGCCGCUUCUGCUGCCCCCGCUGGCAUGGGGACAGGACCCAUGGGCAGGCAGAGCUGGUGUGUGGGGACAAGACCCACGGGCAGUCAGAGCUCCUGCUGCUGCCCCGAGUUGAGGGUUAGGGCUAAUUUUAUAAGGCAUGGGUACGUGACUUAUUUUUACUGGAGAACAGAAAAGAUGAUGUAAAAAGUCAUUAAAUGAUUUCAGUGC